GUUGGCAUAUUUGGAGACAAACCAGCUCUCUAAAGCAGUAAUGACUACCUCAUCAUCAAAGAAACUUCUUCCCCGUAAAUAUAUUUUUUCAUAUUUUGAAACAAGAAAAAGCAAAGGUGCUGAUCAGGAGAAUAGGGGGAUGAACCAAGGUUACAUAGCCAUAUUUAUGCAGAAAAAUGACUAUUUCUUCAGCUCAAUGUGCAAGUGCAUUUGUCAGUUAGCAGCAAUAUAUCUUUUGUCAGCAAACCACAUGUUUUUUCCUUGAUAUUAUCCUGUAGCUUCUGUAGCAAGUUCCUGUAGUAUGCUAUAGUUCCUGUGUGUAAACCCUUUUUGUAAGUAAUCUAUCAAUAUGACACUUUUGCUGUCCCAAAACACAGGCAACGUGACUUUGCUC
Molecule: long non-coding RNA, 394 nt
Filed under: Androctonus crassicauda
Lineage: Eukaryota; Metazoa; Arthropoda; Arachnida; Scorpiones; Buthidae
Source: RNAcentral